AGAUAUAUAGCUCAGUGGUAGAGCACAUGCCUAGAACAUAUGUGGCCCUGAGUUCAAUCCCUAGUAUGGGUG
This 72-nucleotide transfer RNA is filed under the name Fukomys damarensis (Damara mole-rat). It matches the Rfam family "tRNA". Rfam says of the family: Transfer RNA (tRNA) molecules are approximately 80 nucleotides in length. The record is from Rfam by way of RNAcentral. Lineage: Eukaryota; Metazoa; Chordata; Mammalia; Rodentia; Bathyergidae.